RNAcentral lists this ribosomal RNA (465 nucleotides) under uncultured Streptococcus sp. RNAcentral describes it as "bacterial SSU rRNA". It matches the Rfam family "Bacterial small subunit ribosomal RNA", at positions 338 to 795 of the family's 1533-position model. Lineage: Bacteria; Bacillati; Bacillota; Bacilli; Lactobacillales; Streptococcaceae. The record is from RNAcentral.
CCUACGGGAGGCAGCAGUAGGGAAUCUUCGGCAAUGGACGCAAGUCUGACCGAGCAACGCCGCGUGAGUGAAGACGGUUUUCGGAUCGUAAAGCUCUGUUGUAGGGGAAGAACGUGUGUAAGAGUGGAAAGCUUACACAGUGACGGUACCCUACCAGAAAGGGACGGCUAACUACGUGCCAGCAGCCGCGGUAAUACGUAGGUCCCGAGCGUUGUCCGGAUUUAUUGGGCGUAAAGGGAGCGCAGGCGGUUUAGUAAGUCUGAAGUUAAAGGCAUUGGCUCAACCAAUGUAUGCUUUGGAAACUGUUAGACUUGAGUGCAGAAGGGGAGAGUGGAAUUCCAUGUGUAGCGGUGAAAUGCGUAGAUAUAUGGAGGAACACCGGUGGCGAAAGCGGCUCUCUGGUCUGUCACUGACGCUGAGGCUCGAAAGCGUGGGUAGCGAACAGGAUUAGAUACCCCAGUAGUC